GAGUUUGAUCCUGGCUCAGGAUGAACGCUGGCGGCGUGCUUAAUACAUGCAAGUCGAGCGAACUGACGGAGGUGCUUGCACCUCCUGACGUUAGCGGCGGACGGGUGAGUAACACGUGGGUAACCUACCUAUAAGACUGGGAUAACUUCGGGAAACCGGAGCUAAUACCGGAUAAUAUUUAGCUUCGCAUGAAGCAAUAGUGAAAGACGGUUUUGCUGUCACUUAUAGAUGGACCCGCGGUGUAUUAGCUAGUUGGUGAGGUAACGGCUCACCAAGGCAACGAUACAUAGCCGACCUGAGAGGGUGAUCGGCCACACUGGGACUGAGACACGGCCCAGACUCCUACGGGGCGCAGCAGA
RNAcentral lists this ribosomal RNA (359 nucleotides) under uncultured bacterium. RNAcentral describes it as "bacterial SSU rRNA". It matches the Rfam family "Bacterial small subunit ribosomal RNA", at positions 9 to 355 of the family's 1533-position model. The record is from RNAcentral.